UGGCGAUGAUUAAAAUGUAUUUAUUUACGCUUCUGAGAACAAUCGAUGAAGCCAUAACUAAUAAAUUGUUGAAUUUCUUAAUAUGAGCCU
This is a small nucleolar RNA of Ipomoea triloba (trilobed morning glory), 90 nucleotides long. NCBI's taxonomy places the organism in Eukaryota, Viridiplantae, Streptophyta, Magnoliopsida, Solanales, Convolvulaceae. The record is from RefSeq and is a predicted model, not a curated record.